AUUGAACGCUGGCGGCAUGCUUUACACAUGCAAGUCGAACGGUAACAGGCCGCCAGGUGCUGCCGAGUGGCGAACGGGUGAGUAAUGCAUCGGAACAUGCCCAGUCGUGGGGGAUAACUACUCGAAAGAGUAGCUAAUACCGCAUACGAUCUAUGGAUGAAAGCGGGGGACCGUAAGGCCUCGCGCGAUUGGAGCGGCCGAUGUCAGAUUAGGUAGUUGGUGGGGUAAAGGCUCACCAAGCCAACGAUCUGUAGCUGGUCUGAGAGGACAACCAGCCACACUGGGACUGAGACACGGCCCAGACUCCUACGGGAGGCAGCAGUGGGGAAUUUUGGACAAUGGGCGCAAGCCUGAUCCAGCAAUGCCGCGUGCAGGAAGAAGGCCUUCGGGUUGUAAACUGCUUUUGUACGGAACGAAACGGCUCUGGUUAAUACCCGGGGCUAAUGACGGUACCGGAAGAAUAAGCACCGGCUAACUACGUG
This 482-nucleotide ribosomal RNA is filed under the name uncultured bacterium. RNAcentral's name for it is "partial 16S ribosomal RNA". It matches the Rfam family "Bacterial small subunit ribosomal RNA", at positions 30 to 507 of the family's 1533-position model. The record is from RNAcentral.